RNAcentral lists this ribosomal RNA (451 nucleotides) under uncultured bacterium. RNAcentral's name for it is "bacterial SSU rRNA". It matches the Rfam family "Bacterial small subunit ribosomal RNA", at positions 517 to 963 of the family's 1533-position model. The record is from RNAcentral.
GCGGUAAUACGUAGGGUGCGAGCGUUAAUCGGAAUUACUGGGCGUAAAGCGUGCGCAGGCGGUUUUGUAAGACAGGCGUGAAAUCCCCGGGCUCAACCUGGGAACUGCGUUUGUGACUGCAAGGCUAGAGUACGGCAGAGGGGGGUGGAAUUCCACGUGUAGCAGUGAAAUGCGUAGAGAUGUGGAGGAACACCAAUGGCGAAGGCAGCCCCCUGGGUCGAUACUGACGCUCAUGCACGAAAGCGUGGGUAGCAAAACAGGAUUAGAUACCCUGGUAGUCCACGCCCUAAACGAUGUCAACUAGGUGUUGGGUGGGUAAAACCAUUUAGUACCGGAGCUAACGCGUGAAGUUGACCGCCUGGGGAGUACGGCCGCAAGGUUAAAAACUCAAAAGGAAUUGACGGGGACCCGCACAAGCGGUGGAUGAUGUGGAUUAAUUCGAUGCAACGCG